This 66-nucleotide ribozyme is filed under the name Aedes aegypti (yellow fever mosquito). Its description in RNAcentral is "drz-agam-1 ribozyme". It matches the Rfam family "drz-agam-1 ribozyme". The record is from Rfam by way of RNAcentral. Lineage: Eukaryota; Metazoa; Arthropoda; Insecta; Diptera; Culicidae.
UGCCCAGCAACUCCUAUCCCUACCUCCUCGCAGUACUGGCCGGGGUACGAGUACCCUUAGGGAAGA